This 468-nucleotide ribosomal RNA is filed under the name uncultured bacterium. RNAcentral's name for it is "partial 16S ribosomal RNA". It matches the Rfam family "Bacterial small subunit ribosomal RNA", at positions 28 to 507 of the family's 1533-position model. The record is from RNAcentral.
GACGAACGCUGGCGGCGUGCUUAACACAUGCAAGUCGAACGGAAAGGCCCUGCUUUUGUGGGGUGCUCGAGUGGCGAACGGGUGAGUAACACGUGAGUAACCUGCCCUUGACUUUGGGAUAACUUCAGGAAACUGGGGCUAAUACCGGAUAGGAGCUCCUGCUGCAUGGUGGGGGUUGGAAAGUUUCGGCGGUUGGGGAUGGACUCGCGGCUUAUCAGCUUGUUGGUGGGGUAGUGGCUUACCAAGGCUUUGACGGGUAGCCGGCCUGAGAGGGUGACCGGCCACAUUGGGACUGAGAGACGGCCCAGACUCCUACGUGAGGCAACAGUCGGAAAUAUUGCACAAUGGGCGGAAGCCUGAUGCAGCAACGCCGCGUGCGGGAUGACGGCCUUCGGGGUGUAAACCGCUUUCGCCUGUGACGAAGCGUGAGUGACGGUAAUGGGUAAAGAAGCACCGGCUAACUACGUG